GACAGAGGGUGCAAACGUUGUUCGGAAUUACUGGGCGUAAAGCGCGCGUAGGCGGCUUUGUAAGUUAGAGGUGAAAGCCCGGGGCUCAACCCCGGAACUGCCUUUAAGACUGCAUCGCUUGAAUCCAGGAGAGGUGAGUGGAAUUCCGAGUGUAGAGGUGAAAUUCGUAGAUAUUCGGAAGAACACCAGUGGCGAAGGCGGCUCACUGGACUGGUAUUGACGCUGAUGUGCGAAAGCGUGGGGAGCAAACAGG
RNAcentral lists this ribosomal RNA (253 nucleotides) under uncultured bacterium. RNAcentral describes it as "partial 16S ribosomal RNA". It matches the Rfam family "Bacterial small subunit ribosomal RNA", at positions 524 to 776 of the family's 1533-position model. The record is from RNAcentral.